RNAcentral lists this ribosomal RNA (497 nucleotides) under uncultured bacterium. RNAcentral describes it as "partial 16S ribosomal RNA". It matches the Rfam family "Bacterial small subunit ribosomal RNA", at positions 28 to 507 of the family's 1533-position model. The record is from RNAcentral.
GACGAACGCUGGCGGCGUGCCUAAUACAUGCCAGUAGAACGCUGAAGGAAGGAGCUUGCUCUUUCUGGAUGAGUUGCGAACGGGUGAGUAACGCGUAGGUAACCUGCCUGGUAGCGGGGGAUAACUAUUGGAAACGAUAGCUAAUACCGCAUAAAAUUGAUUAUUGCAUGAUAGUCAAUUAAAAGGUGCAACUGCACCACUACCAGAUGGACCUGCGUUGUAUUAGCUAGUUGGUGGGGUAACGGCUCACCAAGGCGACGAUACAUAGCCGACCUGAGAGGGUGAUCGGCCACACUGGGACUGAGACACGGCCCAGACUCCUACGGGAGGCAGCAGUAGGGAAUCUUCGGCAAUGGACGGAAGUCUGACCGAGCAACGCCGCGUGAGUGAAGAAGGUUUUCGGAUCGUAAAGCUCUGUUGUAAGAGAAGAACGAGUGUGAGAGUGGAAAGUUCACACUGUGACGGUAUCUUACCAGAAAGGGACGGCUAACUACGUG